AUACUUACCUGGCAGGGGAGAUACCAUGAUCACGAAGGUGGUUUUCCCAGGGCGAGGCUUAUCCAUUGCACUCCGGAUGUGCUGACCCCUGCGAUUUCCCCGGGCAAUAAACACCAGGCAGAAACUGUCAAAGAAUUAUAGUCUAAUGAACUGAAAAUUU
Small nuclear RNA from Gorilla gorilla gorilla (western lowland gorilla), 160 nucleotides. Its record names the gene U1. It matches the Rfam family "U1 spliceosomal RNA". From Rfam's summary of the family: U1 is a small nuclear RNA (snRNA) component of the spliceosome (involved in pre-mRNA splicing). Its 5' end forms complementary base pairs with the 5' splice junction, thus defining the 5' donor site of an intron. The record is from Ensembl. NCBI's taxonomy places the organism in Eukaryota, Metazoa, Chordata, Mammalia, Primates, Hominidae.